RNAcentral lists this ribosomal RNA (503 nucleotides) under uncultured bacterium. RNAcentral's name for it is "bacterial SSU rRNA". It matches the Rfam family "Bacterial small subunit ribosomal RNA", at positions 28 to 523 of the family's 1533-position model. The record is from RNAcentral.
GACGAACGCUGGCGGCGUGGAUUAGGCAUGCAAGUCGAACGGUAUCAUCCUUUCGGGGGUGAGAGAGUGGCGAACUGGUGAGUAACACGUAGGUUAUCUACCCUCAAGACGGGGACAACCCAGGGAAACUUGGGCUAAUACCGGAUGUGAGCAACUUUUAGUUGUUUGAAAGGUGGCGUAAGCUGUCGCUUGGGGAUGAGCCUGCGUCCUAUUAGUUAGUUGGUGAGGUAACGGCUCACCUAGGCAAUGAUAGGUAGGCGGCCUUAACGGGUGGUCCGCCCACACUGGGAUUGAGAUGCGGCCCAGACUCCUACGGGAGGCAGCAGUCGAGAAUAGUCUACAAUGGUCGGAAGACUGAUAGUGCGACGCCGCGUGAACGAUGAAUCCCUUCGGGGUGUAAAGUUCUUUUAUAUGUGAGCAGUGCUUCUUAUAUUAACAGUAUGGGGAAGAGAUAUUAGCAUAUGAAUAAGCAACGGCUAACUCCGUGCCAGCAGCCGCGGUAA